AUUGAACGCUGGCGGCAUGCUUUACACAUGCAAGUCGAACGGCAGCGCGGGCUUCGGCCUGGCGGCGAGUGGCGAACGGGUGAGUAAUGCAUCGGAACGUGCCCAGUAGUGGGGGAUAGCCCGGCGAAAGCCGGAUUAAUACCGCAUACGACCUGAGGGUGAAAGCGGGUGACCGAAAGGCCUCGCGCUAUUGGAGCGGCCGAUGUCGGAUUAGCUAGUUGGUGGGGUAAAGGCUUACCAAGGCGACGAUCCGUAGCUGGUCUGAGAGGACGACCAGCCACACUGGGACUGAGACACGGCCCAGACUCCUACGGGAGGCAGCAGUGGGGAAUUUUGGACAAUGGGGGCAACCCUGAUCCAGCCAUGCCGCGUGCGGGAAGAAGGCCUUCGGGUUGUAAACCGCUUUUGUUCGGGAAGAAAUCCUCUGGGCUAAUACCCCGGGGGGAUGACGGUACCGGAAGAAUAAGCACCGGCUAACUACGUG
Molecule: ribosomal RNA, 484 nt
Filed under: uncultured bacterium
Lineage: Bacteria
Description: partial 16S ribosomal RNA
Rfam family: Bacterial small subunit ribosomal RNA
Source: RNAcentral